CGUGUGGGCAACCUGCCCUGUACUGGGGAAUAAUCAUUGGAAACGAAUGACUAAUACCGCAUGUGGUCCUCGGAAGGCAUCUUCUGAGGAAGAAAGGAUUUAUUCGGUACAGGAUGGGCCCGCAUCUGAUUAGCUAGUUGGUGAGAUAACAGCCCACCAAGGCGACGAUCAGUAGCCGACCUGAGAGGGUGAUCGGCCACAUUGGGACUGAGACACGGCCCAA
This 223-nucleotide ribosomal RNA is filed under the name uncultured bacterium. RNAcentral's name for it is "partial 16S ribosomal RNA". It matches the Rfam family "Bacterial small subunit ribosomal RNA", at positions 114 to 334 of the family's 1533-position model. The record is from RNAcentral.